Molecule: long non-coding RNA, 1422 nt
Filed under: Gallus gallus (chicken)
Lineage: Eukaryota; Metazoa; Chordata; Aves; Galliformes; Phasianidae
Description: lncRNA (ENSGALG00015027703.1)
Source: RNAcentral
AGCAAACCUAUCUCCAAUAUUGGUCUUUUUUGUGGUGGGGCAUUUCUUCAUAAAUCCACACUGAGGACUGUGUAUAGAAACGCUGCUCUGUUGCUAGCUAAGGCAGACUUUGCACCCUGACUGGUCAGCUGGAACUUAAGGAAGACAAGAAGGACUGAAGUGAUUUCCUCUCCAUAACGGUGUUAAUAACAUAGAUGACCUGCACUGAGAAGAGGGGCCCUUUGAUGAAAAGAAAUAAUUCUGGUGCGUGAAGAUUUUAUUCCAGAAAAGCCAAACAGAACCACCUAAUAUGGCCCUUACCUUGCUGCCAAAGGAAGGGGCGCCCAUUGGGGCUCCUCAGGUGGGGCCAAUUGGCAGGAAGUUCUGAAGGAAAAGUGUUUAAUUUAGUGUUGCCAUUGGGAGUUAUGGAACUAGGAGGAUAAGGGAAGGACAAUGCAUCCUGGGAUUUCCUCAAAUUGGAGAAGUGGGUGUUUGUAUUUAUAUUUAUAAGAGGCUGAGCUGAACUGUCCAACCUAGAAAGUGCGACUCAAUACACAGCAGUUCAACAGGUGACCAGGACCUGCGUUCUCUGCACGAAUAACUGAGCUUUAAGAAAGAGACUUCAAUCAGGAUUCAGGAAAGAUUUUCCUGCUUUUGCAGUUUAUUGCAGUGAAAUCUGUCCAAUCUAUUGACAGAGCUCCAAAACACACAUGGGUUGGUGCCCUGGUAUGCUUGCAGUGAAGCAUUUGCCAAAAGCUAUUGAAAUUCUCAAUGUGCUUCAAGCAUUGGCAUUCUGUGCAGAAAAUGGUGCCACCUAUCAGUAAGGAGGAGGAAACUGAACAGCAAAAUGAUUUGUUUGAACUGAAGAAACUGCUAUUUUCAUUGCAAGGGUGAUGGUUUUCUACUAAUGAGCAAUUAGUGAGAUGUUUGGCUUGUUCAGAAUGGUCUUGGAAAAUGAGGUUCUGACCUGGCUGGCCACUUCCAGGCUGCAUGAGGGGGACCUGGCCAGGCAAACACUGCAUGUUCUCCUCUUGCAGACCAUAAGGGUAGAGUUCUGAGGAAAGUCUGCUGCCAGGGUGCAAAAUGCAAGUCAGCCAGGUCAGCUGAGGUGCAAAGCACCAGAGGUUAGUAGUUAGUUUUAUUUGUGUAAGUCUGAAUCUAAAGAGAUUUUGAUUGAAAAAAAAUAUGUAUGUUCUUAUAUGGCGUAGGUCAUUCUGAGUCACUCUCCAGAGCAAAAUGUAGGCUUGUAAGUGAUUCAUUUCUCCAUCCCUGUAAGCAUUCAGCUUUUACAGGUUCUUACCUGUAUCUAAGUCCACUGGAGAAAGUUUGUCUUGACGAAGUCUGUAUGCACUGAGAUUUCUCUUAUGGAAAGAAGCAUACAAGGGCUGAAUUCUCCACAAGCCUUAUUCUGUACUGUAUGUACCAUUAAUUAAGAGACCUUUC